Molecule: long non-coding RNA, 777 nt
Filed under: Homo sapiens (human)
Lineage: Eukaryota; Metazoa; Chordata; Mammalia; Primates; Hominidae
Description: non-protein coding lnc-AGMAT-1:4
Source: RNAcentral
GAUUCUGGUUGCUGGAGUUUAUCCUCCCGAGGUUGCUGUGCGAGUUUCGGACUCAGCUCAAGCGCUUGGAUCCCUACAGCACCUGCGAGGGCUUCUCCUGGCUGCCGCUUUCGUUCUGGCGAAUGUUCGGGGUGGCAGCCCCCCUUCGAGGCUUGCACGAGGGCGUCCCGGCAUCCGCGAUCAAGCGGGCCCUGCUGCUUUUGGGGCUGACCCUGCGGCUGGGGUGCUGCGGCGUCGCUCUGGCUAUGCCCGGUCCACUCACGGACUCCCUGCUUUGGCCUGCUCAGCUCAGGAGAACCGGGCCCGACUCCAUUUCGGGCAGUGGUGGACAGGGAAACUAGUGCCUGCCUGUAGUGGUCCCAGGCAUAGAGCUUCCUGCAGCUACCCUGUGGCUUAGUUCACGUUUUGUUGCUUUGACCACCGAUGAGAAAUGUGCAGUAGGGACCCUGUAGGAGUCUGCUUACCCGAAAUGGUUUCUGUCUUGAAUAGUUGUUGAGUGAAAGGUAACGUGUUUCGAUUAAAUAUAUAUGUGUGUGUGUGUGUGUAUUCCCAGAAGUGAAAAGACUUAAAUAUUCUUUUUUUUUUUUUUUUGAAAUGGAGUCUCGCUCUGUCGCCCAGGUUGGAGUGCAGUGGCGCGGUCUCGGCUCACUGCAACCUCUGCCUCCCGGGUUCUCUGCCUCAGUCUCCCAGUAGCUGGGAUUACAGGCGCCCACCACCACGCCUAGCUAAUUUUUUUUUUUUUUUUUUUUUUUUUUUUUUUUUUUUAGUAGAGACGGG